CUACCUGUCAGAUAACUGCGAGUACUCUCAGAUCUGUUCAUUGCGUCUUUUUGUGUCGGGAUGUAUAAGUAACCGGCCACGUCUACUUGUAUUUUUGUCCAUCUGAUGAGUUAAGCCUUUUUCAACUGAUUUUUAUAGUUCGUUCUUAUGUUGUACUGUUAUACCACUGUCCCAGGUUAGGGGGAGGGUUGGGAUCCCGAUAACAUGUUUAACCGCGCCACAUUAUUUAUGUAUGCCUGUCCCAAGUCAGGAGCCUGUGGUUCAGUGGUUGUCGUUUGUUUAUGUGUUACAUAUUUGUUUUUCGUUCAUUUUUUUUACAUAAAUAAGGCCGUUAGUUUUCUCGUUUGAAUUGUUUUACAUUGUCUUAUCGGGGCCUGUUAUAGCUGACUAUGCGGUAUGGGCUUUGCUCAUUGUUGAAGGCCGUACGGUGACCUAUAGUUGUUAAUGUCUGUAUCAUUUUGGUCUUUUGUGGAUAGUUGUCUCAUUGGCAAUCAUACCACAUCUUCUUUUUUAUAAGCACU
RNAcentral lists this long non-coding RNA (521 nucleotides) under Mytilus galloprovincialis (Mediterranean mussel). Lineage: Eukaryota; Metazoa; Mollusca; Bivalvia; Mytilida; Mytilidae. The record is from RNAcentral.